CGGCGGACGGGUGAGUAAUGCCUAGGAAUCUGCCUGGUAGUGGGGGACAACGUUUCGAAAGGAACGCUAAUACCGCAUACGUCCUACGGGAGAAAGCAGGGACCUUCGGGCCUUGCGCUAUCAGAUGAGCCUAGGUCGGAUUAGCUAGUUGGUGAGGUAAUGGCUCACCAAGGCGACGAUCCGUAACUGGUCUGAGAGGAUGAUCAGUCACACUGGAACUGAGACACGGUCCAGACUCCUACGGGAGGCAGCAGCU
RNAcentral lists this ribosomal RNA (256 nucleotides) under uncultured Pseudomonas sp. RNAcentral's name for it is "partial 16S ribosomal RNA". It matches the Rfam family "Bacterial small subunit ribosomal RNA", at positions 96 to 355 of the family's 1533-position model. The record is from RNAcentral. Lineage: Bacteria; Pseudomonadati; Pseudomonadota; Gammaproteobacteria; Pseudomonadales; Pseudomonadaceae.